Cucumis sativus (cucumber) is the source of this 251-nucleotide long non-coding RNA. RefSeq lists it as uncharacterized. NCBI's taxonomy places the organism in Eukaryota, Viridiplantae, Streptophyta, Magnoliopsida, Cucurbitales, Cucurbitaceae. The transcript is spliced from 2 exons. The record is from RefSeq and is a predicted model, not a curated record.
CGUUUUCUUCCAGCCGCGCGUUUCCUCUUCUUCCAGCCGCAAUUCACAACCGACGUACACUCUAAUCUGUUUGUACGAUCUUCGUUGUUAGGUUCGAUCGUCGCUGCCGCCGUUUUUGUUGUGUUGGAAGUGACAUUGGGUCCCUCGUGUUCAUAACCGAAAUUGUGAAUUUUGGAGUUUGGCUCGCCAAUACUUCGUAUCUUUCGUGGGAUAUAGUUUGUUUAAGAAAUUGAGCAACCUUGAGGUAAGGG